Molecule: long non-coding RNA, 108 nt
Organism: Telopea speciosissima
Lineage: Eukaryota; Viridiplantae; Streptophyta; Magnoliopsida; Proteales; Proteaceae
Exons: 2
Source: RefSeq, a predicted model, not a curated record
ACCACCCCAUGAAGGGUUUUCGAAGGGUUUUAGGUUUCUCGAGGAUUUACGCUCCGGUCACCAUAUCCGGCCAUUAAGGGCGAGCUCUGUAACUGAAGCAGAAGAAAA